AUUCGGCCACACAGCCUCACACUUCUGUGACCUGGGGGCUCCAGGGAAGGUGAGGGGCAGCCAGCAGCUCUGAGCCAGCUGGGCAGCCACGGUGAGGCUGGAGGUCCGCAGCGGGAGGUUCGGUGGGAGCUGGGAGCGGCUGCUCACCCGGCCUCUGCCCCCAGAGCAGCUCGUGCUGGGUGCCUCGCAGGAGCCGGUGGGCCGCUGGGACCAGGACUAUGACAGGGCUGUGCUGCCACUGCUGGACGCUCAGCAGCCCUGCUACCUGCUCUACCGCCUCGACUCACAGAAUGCUCAGGGCUUCGAAUGGCUCUUCCUUGCCUGGUCGCCUGAUAACUCCCCUGUGCGGCUGAAGAUGCUGUAUGCGGCCACACGCGCCACAGUGAAAAAGGAGUUUGGAGGUGGCCACAUCAAAGAUGAGCUCUUCGGGACUGUGAAGGACGACCUCUCUUUUGCUGGGUACCAGAAACACCAACUCCCCUGUGAGUCCUGGGC
This is a long non-coding RNA of Cercocebus atys (sooty mangabey), 495 nucleotides long. RefSeq lists it as uncharacterized. The transcript has 3 exons. The record is from RefSeq and is a predicted model, not a curated record. NCBI's taxonomy places the organism in Eukaryota, Metazoa, Chordata, Mammalia, Primates, Cercopithecidae.